ACAGAUGCAGACCUGAUGUACUUGAGGCUGAAUCUGUGCUCCUAUCAGCAUGAAGCAGUUAUUUAUCAUGGUGAGACAAGGGGAGGCUGCAUGGGGCUGUUGCCAUAAGGGUACCAGGGCUGAUGUUUGGGUGCCAUCAGUGCCCAAAGUGUUCUUGCAAAAUCUUCACUGCACUGGAGCCAGAAGAAGAGAGUAAGUAAUCUUAAUUGUCUCUAUCUGCUCUAGCAUAAAAGAAAUCAGGUGGUGCUGGAUACAAACAGAAAUACAAACCUGUAUUUCUUCCAACUUUGGAAACAGAGGCAUCAGACUUACUGGCUUUUUGCUCAACUUUGCCCCUGCAUGCACCUCUUGCUGCAUGAUGCAGUUGCCAAAAUGAUUUGCUCCCUUCCUUUGAAGUUCUGCAGUAAACAUUUUGUCCUCUUACAGUGUUUUCCUCUGCUUUCUUUCUUCUGCAAGGUUCUGGUGCUGGCAGAGUGAGAGGAUUAAAGCACAUCAUCAUUUUCAUUUUACUCUCUGAAUCACGUCAGUGAGAAACCAUCUAUUGCUGGAUCUAAAACUCACUCUGCCUCACUCUGCCCCUGCCCUGGAAACCUUACAGGAACAGGAAUGAAUGAUGGCACAGCCUGAAUACCCAGCUUUCCUCUUUGAUUAGCUGGAAGCAGAAGAGUCCAGUGUUCUCAGAGGCAGGACAGGGGAGGAUGGAGGUCCCUGUGUCCUGCCAGCUCAGAGCAGACUUUGUUGCCUUGCUCGUGCUCAGAAGCAUAGCUUGGAUCAAUCUGUGCCCCUCACUGCUGGAAUGGAGCCAAGUGCUGCAGCUGCCCUGCGUCCUGCAGCUCACAGACAACUCAUCCACAUGCUUUGUGCACCACCAGACAUGUUCUGCAUGAGUCUGAGCAACCUGUUUCAGCCUGUUCUCCCUCCUACCUGCGACCAAGCCAAGCUCUUGCAUCCAGAGAGCUGAAGAUCUGUUGGAAAGCUGAGCAUUAGUUGGAAAUUGGACAACAGAUGAUGCUCUCAAUGCUGUGCCCUCAUCACUUGUGCCACUGCUGAGCUGAGCUUCCUGAGGAACAGUACUCACCAAGGCUGGCUGGAGCCAUGUCCUUCAUAUGAUAGAGCCAGGAACAACGCUUGGAGACAUCCUCAGCUUUGCAAAGCAACCCUAUGUCCUCUGGGCAAGAGGGAUGGGAAUGCAGCUCCAGGGCUCCUACUCAGCAAUCCCUGUUGGUACCCAACAGGACUGGUGCUGCAGCCACAAACCACUCUGUUUGCAGCAGUGCUUAUGUUGCUUCAAGUCCCAGGAAAGCUCCAGCACUUGGCUGAGCCCCAGGGACAAGGUCUCUAUGGGAGCAUGGAACCCUCACUGCUCCUUGAUAAAGUCAGCACUGAGUGGGCUUCCCUCUGAUGCCGCUGGGAAAGAAAGGGAAAACAAAACAAAGCAAUGUUGAACUCAGCAGAUGGAGGGAGCUGAGCUUUCUGACUGUUUCUAUGGAGCCCCUCCCAGCACUGGCUUGAUGUGGGUCUGAGCUCCAUCCCUUCCCAGAGGGGUGCCUCUUCCCAUCCCCCUGUAGGACCCACUGUUCUGAUAACAGGUUGGUGCCACGCCACCAGGCAGCCUGCUUAUCUGGGUACCCAGCAAACGAUUUGGAAGAAAAAUCCAUUUUUGACUCAACCAAAUAAAACAUUUUUCAUUUGUUC
Lagopus muta (rock ptarmigan) is the source of this 1695-nucleotide long non-coding RNA. RefSeq lists it as uncharacterized. The transcript is spliced from 2 exons. Lineage: Eukaryota; Metazoa; Chordata; Aves; Galliformes; Phasianidae. The record is from RefSeq and is a predicted model, not a curated record.